CCUACGGGAGGCAGCAGUAGGGAAUAUUGGACAAUGGGUGAGAGCCUGAUCCAGCCAUGCCGCGUGCAGGAAGAAGGCGUUAUGCGUUGUAAACUGCUUUUGCCAGGGGAUAAAACGGUUCUGCGGAACUAAUUGAAGGUACCUGGUGAAUAAGCCACGGCUAACUACGUGCCAGCAGCCGCGGUAAUACGUAGGUGGCAAGCGUUGUCCGGAUUUAUUGGGUUUAAAGGGUGCGUAGGCGGCCCUGUAAGUCAGUGCUGAAAUAUCCCGGCUUAACCGGGAGGGUGGCAUUGAUACUGCAGGGCUUGAGUACAGAUGAGGUAGGCGGAAUUGACGGUGUAGCGGUGAAAUGCAUAGAUAUCGUCAAGAACACCGAUAGCGAAGGCAGCUUACCAAGCUGUAACUGACGCUGAGGCACGAAAGUGUGGGGAUCAAACAGGAUUAGAUACCCUGGUAGUCCACACUGUAAACGUUGAUGACUCGAUGUUGGCGAUACACAGCCAGCGUCCAAGAGCAAUCGUUAAGUCAUCCACCUGGGGAGUACGCCGGCAACGGUGAAACUCAAAGGAAUUGACGG
This 577-nucleotide ribosomal RNA is filed under the name uncultured bacterium. RNAcentral's name for it is "bacterial SSU rRNA". It matches the Rfam family "Bacterial small subunit ribosomal RNA", at positions 338 to 916 of the family's 1533-position model. The record is from RNAcentral.